ACCUUUCGGUUCUAUAUGGUCUGAAGGAAUUCUAUGCUGCAAACCGCGGUAAUCUAGCUGAAUUUCGAGACCUUGACAGGUUAGAAUCCUUGGAAAACUUGAACAUCUCCGGAUGCAUGUCCAUUGCACAAUGACCUUUCAAGUUCAAAUUAUCUGAGGCUAUUAUGUGUUGCAGAUUGCAAGAUCUGGCAAGUUUGAAUAUAUCUGUGAUUGCAUGUCCAUCGAUGCUUGACCUUUCAAGUUUAAAGAGUCUAAAAGAAUUUGGUGCUGCCAACUGCGAGAAUCUAAUUGAAGUUCGAGGUCUUGACAGGUUAAAAUCUCUGGAAAGGUUAAAUAUCUCUGGAUGCCCCAAAAUGAUUACAUGCUGCAAAUUGCUGGAAUCUUGUUGAAAUUCGUGGUCUUUUUACAGUUUGGAUUUACUGGCAAGUUUGAAUAUCUCUGGGUGCAUAUCUAUUGAAAGAUGACCAGACCUUUCCAGU
Molecule: long non-coding RNA, 479 nt
Organism: Rhodamnia argentea
Lineage: Eukaryota; Viridiplantae; Streptophyta; Magnoliopsida; Myrtales; Myrtaceae
Exons: 3
Source: RefSeq, a predicted model, not a curated record